This 253-nucleotide ribosomal RNA is filed under the name uncultured bacterium. Its description in RNAcentral is "partial 16S ribosomal RNA". It matches the Rfam family "Bacterial small subunit ribosomal RNA", at positions 524 to 776 of the family's 1533-position model. The record is from RNAcentral.
UACGUAGGGUGCGAGCGUUGUCCGGAAUUACUGGGCGUAAAGAGCUCGUAGGUGGUUUGUCGCGUUGUUCGUGAAAACUCACAACUCAAUUGUGGGCGUGCGGGCGAUACGGGCAGACUGGAGUACUGCAGGGGAGACUGGAAUUCCUGGUGUAGCGGUGGAAUGCGCAGAUAUCUGGAGGAACACCGGUGGCGAAGGCGGAUCUCUGGGCCUGAUCUGACGCUGAGGCGCGAAAGCUAGGGGAGCGAACAGG